Long non-coding RNA from Alnus glutinosa, 547 nucleotides. RefSeq lists it as uncharacterized. The record is from RefSeq and is a predicted model, not a curated record. The transcript is spliced from 3 exons. Lineage: Eukaryota; Viridiplantae; Streptophyta; Magnoliopsida; Fagales; Betulaceae.
GAAAAGAGGCAGAGAGCGGUCCAAAGCCAAAAAGAGCAUAGGGAAGAAAAAGAAGGAAAAAAAAAAUAUGAGUAAGGUUCCUUUUUGUUUUUAAGUAGAAAAAUCUUGAUCUACGAAGAUCCAGCGGUCGGAUCUUCAAUCCGUCUUCGGAAACGUGAUCCUUGUACUCGGAUCUACGUUUUUACCGAUUGUUUAAGGUACUUGAGCUUAUUGGAGCUUACUUGAGGCUAUCCAAACUUUGGGUUGAAGUUUGGUGAAUUUGGGUACACCUGACUUAGAGGAGGACCCCGUAGCUGCGUAUUUGGGAUACUACGAUUGAAGCAUUUUGCGAUAGUCGUAUUGAGUUGGACUAUGGAGUUCACUCUUUUGGGGUAUUUUGAAUAUGGCUAAUGACAUAGGUAUCACAUAUUCUUUUAUGUAGCCAUUCUUUUGUAUUAAUGGGUAAUUGUAAGCCUUAAGCAAUUAGACAGAUAUAUGGCUCUUUUGUAUGCACCACCUGUUAUUUUUAGAUGUGCUUUCUGUUAUGAUUUUUAGUAUUAUAAUUAUU